Molecule: ribosomal RNA, 2910 nt
Filed under: Candidatus Amesbacteria bacterium GW2011_GWB1_47_19
Lineage: Bacteria; Candidatus Amesiibacteriota
Description: bacterial LSU rRNA
Rfam family: Bacterial large subunit ribosomal RNA
Source: RNAcentral
GCAGACAACGAAUGCCUAGGAUACUGAAGCCGAAGAAGGACGUACGUGGCCACGAAAGUCGUCGGGGAGCUGCCAAGAAGCUUUGAUCCGGCGGUGUCCGAAUGGGGAAACCCCCUCUUUAUGAGGACCCCGCCUAUGGCGGGGGGGGCACGCCCUGAACUGAAACAUCUAAGUAAGGGCAGGAAAAGAAAUCAACGUUCGCGCAAGCGAGAGAGAUUCCGUAAGUAAGCGGUGAGCGAAAGCGGAACAGCCUAAACCCCGCCGCAAGGCGAGGGUGUUGCGGGAAGGCCGAGUGACCGGCAAGGGUAGUCGAACUGUCUGGAAAGGCAGGCUAUAAAACGUGACAGCCGUGUAGGCGAAACCCAAGCCGGCGUGAAGCCGAAUUCCCAAGUACCAUGAGGCACAUACCUUGUGGGAAUCCGGGGUGACCACACUCCAAGGCUAAAUACUUCAGUGUACCGAUAGUGAACUAGUACCGUGAGGGAAAGGCGAAAAGAAGGGUGAGAAACCUAGUGAAAUAGAACCUGAAAUUGUCUGCUGUCAAGCAGACGGAGUCCCGCCUUUGGCGGGAUGACGUCGUGCCUAUUGAAGAAUGAUCCGGCGAGUUUUCGUUACAUGCAUGUCUAAUCCGUCUAAAGCGGAGGAGGCGUAGUGAAAGCGAGGGUUAACAGCCCGUAUAUUGCAUGUGAUGGAAGACCCGAAACCUGGUGAGCUAACCAUGAGCAGGGUGAACCCCGUCGAAAGACGGGGGGAGGCCCGCACUCGUCAGAGUUACAAAUCUGUGAGAUGACUUGUGGUUAGGGGUAAUAUGCCAAUCGAACCAGGAGAUAGCUGGCUCUCCCCGAAAUAUAUAUAGGUAUAGCCUUAAGACUAACUUUCAAGAGGUAGAGCACUGGAUGGGCAGGGCAUCUUUAGGUGUCCUAUUCAAUCAAACUCCGAAUUCUUGAAAGCUACAUCUUAGGAGUCAGAACGACCCGGCUAAGCGGGCCGCUCUAAAGGGAAACAACCCAGACUGUCGUCUAAGGCCUCUAAAUGAAUGCUCAGUGUUGAACGAAGUCAAAUUCCUCAGACAGCCAGGAGGUUGGCUCAGAAGCAGCCAUCCUUUAAAGAAAGCGUAACAGCUCACUGGUCGACCUUGGAAUUUGGCGCGGAAAAUGAACCGAGGCUUAAGCAUUCUGCCGAAGACACAGAUUUUUUUGACGUUCGCGUCAAAAAAGUGGUAGGGGAGCGUUGAAGGAGCAGUGAAGUCCCUCUGUAAAGAUCGGGAUGGAGCGACUUCAAGUGAGAAUGCCGGAAUGAGUAGCGUAAGCCCGAUGAGAAUUCGGGCCGCCGAAACCCCAAGGUUUUCCCAGCCAUGUUGUUCAGCUGGGAGUGAGUCGGCACCUAAGGUGAGGCCUAAGUUGGCGUAACCGAUGGACGAGCCGUUAACAUUCGGCUACAUGAUAAGUAUCGUUAUAAAAUCAGGGAUGGACAAAAUGAGAAUAUCCGAACGCACGUAGUGAAUGUGGCGUUUAAGCAGCAAGACAGUUAGGCUUGGAAAAACCGGUCUGACGUUUAAUUGAGCUGUGAUGAGAAGUCUGGCGAGAAAUCAACGGGCAACUCGGACGGUUUUUGUUUUCCAGAAAAGAUUCGUGGUGAGAUAUUUAUUAUGCCGUACCGCAAACCGACACUGGUGGGGUGGUCGAGUAGACCAAGGCGAUCGGGAGAAGGUAGUUCAAGGAACUCGGCAAAAAAUCUGGACGUAAUCUAGAGAGAUGUCCUUCCCGCCUAUGGCGGGACGCAGCGAAAGAUUAUUCCCCGACUGUUUAACUAAAACACAGGUCUGUGCAAACUUGAAAGAGAAAGUAUACAGGCUGAGGCCUGCCCAGUGCUCGUAAGUUAAGUGGAUGGCUGAGAUUACAUCAAGGCUUGAAAUGAAGCCCGAGUGAACGGCAGCAGUAACUAUGUCGAACUGUUCUAUGGUAGCGAAGUUCCUUGUCGGGUAAGCGGCAGUUCCGACCCGCACGAAAGGCUUAACGAGGGAAUAACUGUCUUGAACUAUCACCCGGCGAAUUUGAAAUGGCUGUGAAGAUGCGGCCUAACUCUACUAGGACAAAAAGACCCUAUGGAGCUUUACUGUACCCAGGCCCUGUUUUGGAUUUUGAGAUAGUUUAGAGUAGGAGGGAGUUCUCGGACAAAAGUGAAACACCUCCCGUUUUGGAAUUUCAAAACUUACCCAGACCAGCUGGAAACGCUGGUGGGGACGAGGUCUGGAUGGCAGUUUUACUGGGGAGGUAUCCUGCUAAAAGGUAACGCAGGAGUACCAAGGUGCACUAGGCUCGGAUGGAAAUCGAGCGAGUCGUAUAACGGCAUAAGUGCGCUUGACUGCGAGAGCGACGGUUCGAGCAGGGACGAAAGUCGGUCGUAAUGAUCCUCGUUAGCCUUGUGGGAGGCUACGAGCUUAACGGAUAAAAGCUACCCUAGGGAUAACAGGCUGAUCGCCGCCAAGAGUCCAUAUCGACGCGGCGGUUUGGCACCUGAUGUCGGCUCACCCUAUCCUGGAGGGGCAGUACCUUCCAAGGGUCCGUCUGUUCGCCGGUUAAAAGGGUACGCGAGCUGGGUUCAGAACGUCGUGAGACAGUUGGUCGGUCUCUAUCCAGUAGAGUCGUGGAGUUUUUGAGGGGGUCUGACCUCAGUACGAGAGGACCAGGUUGGAGGCACCACUGGUGUGCCGGUUGUAGCGUCAGCUGCACCGCCGGGUAGCUAAGUGCCUACGGGAUAACCGCUGAAAGCAUCUAAGUGGGAAGCCCUACCCAAGAUAAGAAACUCGUCCCGCCGUAAGGCGGGUAAAGACACGGGGUAGACUACCCCGUAUAAGAGGCUGGCGGUGUAAGUUCGGUAACGGAUUUAGCCUACCAGUACUAAUAAGUC